This 327-nucleotide ribosomal RNA is filed under the name Triticum aestivum (bread wheat). RNAcentral describes it as "partial small subunit ribosomal RNA". The record is from RNAcentral. Lineage: Eukaryota; Viridiplantae; Streptophyta; Magnoliopsida; Poales; Poaceae.
AUGAACCAUGUUUUCCUUUAUGUGCAGUUGGAUGAUGCUUCUUGUAGGAUCUCAAAGGACGGAUGUAUUGGUGGUUGUAUUCUCGUACUUUCUGUAUGGAGCUGGGAGCGCCUGCCAGUCGAACGCCCGAAGGACAUAACGUACAAGGGUUGGGAUGACCAAGGCGACGAACUACGGCUCCCCACCUGGGCUUACAAGUGGGAUGUGGUAACCGAUAUGACUAGUGAUGUCAUUAUGAUGUAUAGGCAGUACACCAACGAGUUGGACACUGUUACGGCUGAGCAGGUAAACAUUGACUUUACAUCACUCAUUCCCAUGCUUUCAUGA